RNAcentral lists this ribosomal RNA (83 nucleotides) under Duganella sp. FT27W. RNAcentral describes it as "partial 16S ribosomal RNA". It matches the Rfam family "Bacterial small subunit ribosomal RNA", at positions 1456 to 1533 of the family's 1533-position model. Lineage: Bacteria; Pseudomonadati; Pseudomonadota; Betaproteobacteria; Burkholderiales; Oxalobacteraceae. The record is from RNAcentral.
ACCACGGUAGGAUUCGUGACUGGGGUGAAGUCGUAACAAGGUAGCCGUAUCGGAAGGUGCGGCUGGAUCACCUCCUUUCUAGA